RNAcentral lists this ribosomal RNA (376 nucleotides) under Hordeum murinum. The record is from RNAcentral. Lineage: Eukaryota; Viridiplantae; Streptophyta; Magnoliopsida; Poales; Poaceae.
GGAACAUGGCGCACUUACGCAUUAAAUAUUACACAUGGUUUCGAAAUUUUUGACGUUUCUAGUAAGUUUUAGCUUGUGGCUCAUUAAUCACGCGUCUAAGGACGGAUAAGUAGUGUUGGCAAAGGUACCGCAUUCUGAAAGGGGUGUAAACCGUGGUGAAACUCGUGUUGGUGCGGUAGAAAGGGGGUGUGUGGAAACUAUGGUAAACGAGUCUCCGUCGUUAAGCGACAGAGUAAGUAGUGAAGUGGAGUAUCCGUUAUUAGGCAGUGCUGACAAACAAAGUAGGGUCUGGUUUAUAGUGGAGCUGGGAGGGGCGAGCAUAAGGGACGAAGUUGGGGAAACAUGUCCGAUGCGAUCAUACCAGCACUAAAGCACC